GGGGGUGGAUGGUGCCUGGUGGUGCUCCUGGUCUUCAAAACCAGUCGUUGGGCAGCGUUCCUGUCCAUGCUAGGUUCGAUUCCUAGACACUCCC
RNAcentral lists this transfer RNA (94 nucleotides) under Desulforamulus ruminis DSM 2154. Its description in RNAcentral is "Desulfotomaculum ruminis DSM 2154 Selenocysteine transfer RNA". It matches the Rfam family "Selenocysteine transfer RNA". The record is from Rfam by way of RNAcentral. Lineage: Bacteria; Bacillati; Bacillota; Clostridia; Eubacteriales; Peptococcaceae.